AAGAGGGCUUAGAACACAUGUGCGCCGCGCUCGGCGAUAAACAUUUUAUAGGAAUGUUUGGAGCAAAAACUCCUUACCAAAUGUUCGUAUCGAUAUAGGGAGUUGCGAGCGAAGGAAGUUUGUAAUAUAAAUAAUAAAUUCGGAUCGUUUCUUUAACAAGCCCGAGAUUUCUGUACAGGAUAUACGGAGGAUAUGGAAAGUUAAUAACAAAUUAUCAGCAUAAAAUCAUAAUCAAAUUAUAUCGGUCAUAAUUUUCCUCAAUGAACAUCUACCUAAAGUCAUCUAAGGGCCUGGCCACAGCUACUGGCGGUGCGUUAUGCGGUGCGUUGCGAGGCGCGGCGGGCGGUGUGACUUGCGGGGGUAUGCCACAGCUAGACUAGUUGCGACGGCGGCGGCGUCAGAGGUGGACGUAUUUAGAAAGCCCUAUCAAAUUUCCCUUUCAAAAGUGGCACGAUAUUACCUUGAAAUAAGUGCGUUCUUAGCUGAAGAUAUUAUUCAAUCAAGAAUAGGAGCGUACCCAGUUAGAAAAAGAGAGAACUUGGCGAAUUUCACCCUAUUUAUUAGCUCGUCGCCGCCAGAUGUCACGCGCCUCUCACCGCGCCUCGCAACGCACCGCAAAACGCACCGCCAGUAGCUGUGGCAUACUUCAUAGGUUGUCUACCAUUUGUUUUCGCCGCUCCCGCUUGCCGCGCCUCACGACGCACCGCAAUUCGCACCGCUCUCGGCUGUGGCCAAGGGGUAAGAAAACAAUAUGGAUGCAAUUAUAUUCGAAAGAGAGAUCAUGUUCGGAUCAAGAGGACCACGCGAUAUAAACACUGGCGUCCUUGAUACUACAUUGAGGGUGCUAUUUAUAACUGGCAGAUGCUCCCCUUGUCCCGUGCCGACUAUUUUAGUACUCCCAUCCUCGCACCCCAGCGCAAUCCUUGCGCGUGCCUCCUCUAGAACGAAACUAGAUCCGUGCAAGGGGAAUUAUCAUACAAAUAUUUUCGCAAUUUAUUUUAGUUUAAUUUCUCUUUUGAAAUUUGAGGGAAUUAGUCAUAUUCUAAUAUCACGAAACUGAUCAUAUAAUGUCAGCUGUUACGUUGAAAUACAAUAAAGACGUAUAAUUUAGUUUUAAUAUUUAAUUUGGUGAUACUAAAUUGUAUUUAAAAUUAUUGUGAAUUAGGAAUCGCACUAUAAAACCGAUGUUGUUGUUGUUUUUUUUUAAUAUUUUACAAAUUUUCGGAAAAUAUCAGUAUACUGUUAAACAAAUCACGUACGUUAUUUUUUUUUGAGUUUAAUUUCAGCUCUUUGUAUUUACAUUUGAACGCAGAAUUAAAAUAUCGAAUUAAGAAUUCA
Bombyx mori (domestic silkworm) is the source of this 1338-nucleotide long non-coding RNA. RefSeq lists it as uncharacterized. The transcript is spliced from 2 exons. The record is from RefSeq and is a predicted model, not a curated record. NCBI's taxonomy places the organism in Eukaryota, Metazoa, Arthropoda, Insecta, Lepidoptera, Bombycidae.